UAAGGAAUAUUGCGCAAUGGGCGAAAGCCUGACGCAGCGACGCCGCGUGGGGGAUGAAGGUCUUCGGAUUGUAAACCCCUUUCGGGAGGGAAGAUGGAGUGGGGUAACCCAUUCGGACGGUACCUCCAGAAGCAGCCACGGCUAACUUCGUGCCAGCAGCCGCGGUAAUACGAAGGUGGCAAGCGUUAUUCGGAUUUACUGGGCGUACAGGGAGCGUAGGCGGUUCGGUAAGCCCUCUGUGAAAUCUUCAGGCUUAACCUGGAAAAGUCGGAGGGGACUGCUGGGCUAGAGGACGGGAGAGGAGCGCGGAAUUCCCGGUGUAGCGGUGAAAUGCGUAGAGAUCGGGAGGAAGGCCGGUGGC
Molecule: ribosomal RNA, 361 nt
Filed under: uncultured bacterium
Lineage: Bacteria
Description: bacterial SSU rRNA
Rfam family: Bacterial small subunit ribosomal RNA
Source: RNAcentral